GCCUGAGUGGCUCAGUCGGUUAAGCAUCUGACUUCAGCUCAGGUCACGAUUACAGUUUGUGAGUUCGAGCCUUGCGUUGGGCU
This 83-nucleotide transfer RNA is filed under the name Felis catus (domestic cat). It matches the Rfam family "tRNA". From Rfam's summary of the family: Transfer RNA (tRNA) molecules are approximately 80 nucleotides in length. Their secondary structure includes four short double-helical elements and three loops (D, anti-codon, and T loops). Lineage: Eukaryota; Metazoa; Chordata; Mammalia; Carnivora; Felidae. The record is from Rfam by way of RNAcentral.